Molecule: long non-coding RNA, 221 nt
Filed under: Lathyrus oleraceus (garden pea)
Lineage: Eukaryota; Viridiplantae; Streptophyta; Magnoliopsida; Fabales; Fabaceae
Description: Pisum sativum (pea) long non-coding RNA (PSAT_LNC034726)
Source: RNAcentral
UAGACUUUAGUGUGGUUCAUAUCUAAUGACUGACAAAUCUCCUUCAUCUUUCAUUAUCAUAUAUCAUACCUCUUGCCUCAGUCUCUUAUUGUGUUUGUUCCGGUCAUAAUGGGUCGAACUACGAAUGCCCUGACUUUCUCAUUGCAUAGUUAGAAUACAUAGGCACGAGGAUUCAGAUUCUCCGUGAGCUACCUUAUUUAUUAAUUCCCCAUUCAUCAAUC